AUGAACGCUGGCGGCGUGCCUAAUACAUGCAAGUCGAGCGAACAGACGAGGAGCUUGCUCCUCUGACGUUAGCGGCGGACGGGUGAGUAACACGUGGAUAACCUACCUAUAAGACUGGGAUAACUUCGGGAAACCGGAGCUAAUACCGGAUAAUAUAUUGAACCGCAUGGUUCAAUAGUGAAAGACGGUUUUGCUGUCACUUAUAGAUGGAUCCGCGCCGCAUUAGCUAGUUGGUAAGGUAACGGCUUACCAAGGCAACGAUGCGUAGCCGACCUGAGAGGGUGAACGGCCACACUGGAACUGAGACACGGUCCAGACUCCUACGGGAGGCAGCAGUAGGGAAUCUUCCGCAAUGGGCGAAAGCCUGACGGAGCAACGCCGCGUGAGUGAUGAAGGUCUUCGGAUCGUAAAACUCUGUUAUUAGGGAAGAACAAAUGUGUAAGUAACUAUGCACGUCUUGACGGUACCUAAUCAGAAAGCCACGGCUAACUACGUG
This 496-nucleotide ribosomal RNA is filed under the name uncultured bacterium. Its description in RNAcentral is "partial 16S ribosomal RNA". It matches the Rfam family "Bacterial small subunit ribosomal RNA", at positions 29 to 507 of the family's 1533-position model. The record is from RNAcentral.